GCCCCUGUGGCGGAAUGGUAGACGCAGUUGACUCAAAAUCAACCGAAGAGAUUCGUGCUGGUUCAAGUCCAGUCAGGGGCACCA
RNAcentral lists this transfer RNA (84 nucleotides) under Mycoplasma phocoenae. Its description in RNAcentral is "Mycoplasma sp. Phocoena C-264-GEN tRNA-Leu". It matches the Rfam family "tRNA". From Rfam's summary of the family: Transfer RNA (tRNA) molecules are approximately 80 nucleotides in length. The record is from RNAcentral. Lineage: Bacteria; Bacillati; Mycoplasmatota; Mollicutes; Mycoplasmatales; Mycoplasmataceae.